Long non-coding RNA from Rosa rugosa (rugosa rose), 1400 nucleotides. RefSeq lists it as uncharacterized. The record is from RefSeq and is a predicted model, not a curated record. The transcript is spliced from 3 exons. NCBI's taxonomy places the organism in Eukaryota, Viridiplantae, Streptophyta, Magnoliopsida, Rosales, Rosaceae.
CUCUCGUUGUGCAUCUCUUCCCUCUUUUUGAAGUUUGCUAUGAAAACCCACGAGAUUGAGCUGAGAAAAGAAAACAAAGAAACAAAAAAAACUCUCCCAAAACCUGUCUCUCUCGUCCUCCCUCUCAAUCCAUCAUAGCAAACAUCGAAAUUCCCCUACUCGUGUAAUCGUCGGAUCUUCCACCUUCGAAUUUCCGACGGCGUUUCCCUACACAAACCUCACGCUCUCUCUCUCUCUACCCUCUCCCUCGCCCUCUCCGACUUCUCUCCUGUCGACAACGUCUUCGACUACGGCUCCAACUUGGACUCCACCUUCGACGAUGGCGGCCACUUCAUUUUGGACUCGUCCAUUUCAGAUCGCUCAAUUUCACUCUGAAACCAAAACCCCAAUCCCGAUUCCCCCUAAUUUACCAAACCGCUAGGGUUUUCUAGCGGUCAUCCAGUAUGAGUUCCAGAUCCGCGAGCCGGGGACCCACAUGCUGGAGACUACAUCACCGGCUUGAGCUUGCUGGAUUUCAAUACCUUGGUAGACCAGUGAGUCCAGUGAGUUGACUCCCCCUCUCCCUCCUCCUCCAGUCCUCCCUUCCCAACCAAAAAGGUUGGAGCUAAAUCACGUAAUAUUUCUUAUAUAAAAGGAAAACUACCCUCUUGGGUUGGAAUUCCUACAUCAGUUGCCCUACCAUUUGGAGUAUUUGAAAAAUUUCUUUCUGAACAUUUAAAUAAGGUUGUCACCUCUAAACUUCAAUAAUCAUAUUCUGCACAUAUAUUACUCAUGCAACUGUCAUUUCUACUAGUACCUUAACCAGAAUAGUCUGAAGUUAUAUUAAUUUGUUUGGCUUUGUGUUUUUGGAAGUUAACCUGUCGUUUUCUAUACUAAUAUCUUAACCUGUCAUUUUAACUAGGAGAUGCAUAGAAAUUUAACUUCAGUAGUAAUUUAAUUGCUCCUUAACGUCACAGAGCCUGGUGCCAAGUGAGAAAAACUAAAAAUGCCUUACUCAAGUGCUUAUCUUUUUUGUACAUUUUCAUGCCCUUUCAAUACUUUUGUUAAGUAUCUCGCAUCUAAGUAGGUACAUCGAUGAGUGGGACCUCUUGAGGUUCAUGAUCGAGGAAGAAGUGGAGCUUGUGUGGCCACUAAUUGACAUAAAAAAGACUGGACAAGUCGAUAGGAAAACUCUAACAAAGUGGGUGGUAAGACAUUUAUCUUAUUAUGUCUCUUGACUUCCAGAAGUUGUAGUUCUUAUUUUGCUUAUGGAGGACUUUUGUUUUGUUUCUGUAGCAUGUAAUUUAUACAUUGAUCACAUCUUUCAAUCUAAAAGCAAAUAUAGCAGGGUAGUUAUUCAUGAAGGAAUUCCUACUUGUUAUGUAUGCACAUGCAGAAAUACUUAAAUUUGUACUUGAUGG